CUACGGGUGGCUGCAGUGAGGAAUAUUGGUCAAUGGCCGCAAGGCUGAACCAGCCAUGUCGCGUGAAGGACGACGGCCCUAUGGGUUGUAAACUUCUUUUGUAUGGGAAGAAAAGUAGGCACGAGUGCUUAUCUGCCGGUACCAUACGAAUAAGGAUCGGCUAACUCCGUGCCAGCAGCCGCGGUAAUACGGAGGAUCCGAGCGUUAUCCGGGUUAUUGGGUUUAAAGGGUGCGUAGGCGGCUCUAUAAGUCAGUAGUGAAAUCUCGUGGCUCAACCAUGAACGUGCUAUUGAAACUGUAGAGCUUGAGUACAGACGAGGCAGGCGGAAUGUGUUAUGUAGCGGUGAAAUGUAUAGAUAUAACACAGAACACCGAUAGCGAAGGCAGCUUGCCAGACUGUAACUGACGCUGAUGCACGAAAGCGUGGGUAGCGAACAGGAUUAGAUACCCGGGUAGUC
Molecule: ribosomal RNA, 458 nt
Filed under: uncultured bacterium
Lineage: Bacteria
Description: partial 16S ribosomal RNA
Rfam family: Bacterial small subunit ribosomal RNA
Source: RNAcentral